ACCCGGGCCAGCGGCUGCGGAGGAUGUACUGGGUCCCCCAGCAGUUCCAGCCCACCGGCGCUUUGCUCGAUUUCUCACCGGGCCUUAGCUGCCUUCCCUCGGGGCAGGGCUCCGGACCUGCAGCCCACCAUGCCUGAGCCUCCCACCCACUCCAUGGGCUCCUGUGCGGCCUGAGCCUCCCUGACGAGCGCCACCCCCUGCACCGGGGCGCCCAGUCCCAUCGACCACCCAAGGGCUGAGGAGUGCGGGCGCAAGGCACCGGGACUUGCAGGCGGCUCCACCUGCAGCCCCGGUGCGGGAUCCACUGGGUGAAGCCAGCUGGGCUCCUGAGUCUGGUGGGGAUGUGGAGAACCUUUGUGUCUAGCUCAGGGAUUGUAAACGCACCAAUCAGCGCCCUGUCAAAACAGACCACUCGGCUCUACCAAUCAGCAGGAUGUGGAUGGGGCCAGAUAUAAAAGCAGGCUGCCCGAGCUAGCAGUGGCAACCGGCUCGGGUCUCCUUACGCACUGUGGAAGCUUUGUUCCUUCGCUCUUUGCAAUAAAUCUUGCUACUGCUCACACUUUGGGUCCACACUGCCUUUAUGAGCUGUAACACUCACCGGGAAGGCCUGCAGCUUCACUCCUGAGCCAGCGAGACCACGAGCCCACCAGGAGGAACGAACAACUCCAGAGGCGCCGCCUUAAGAGCUGUAACCCGGCAAAGGUCUGCAGCUUCACUCCUGAGCCAGGGAGACCACGAACCCACCAGAAGGAAGAAACUCCAAACACAUCCGAACAUCAGAAGGAACAAACUCCAGACGCGCCACCUUAAGAGCUGUAACACUCACUGGGAGGGUCCGCGGCUUCAUUCUUGAAGUCAGUGAGACCAAGAACCCACCAAUUCCGGACACAUAACCACUAUGCUAGACCAGAUACAGGAAAUCUUCAUAACCUCAGGAAGUUCUCCUGUGCCUCUUUGCAGUCACUUCCUCUCCGUGUCUUCCUCCCACCCCCGCCAUCUGAGGCAACCACAACUGGAAUUUCUAUCAUAUUGUGUUAAAUUACUACUUCUAGAAAUUCAUGUAAAUGAAAUCAACCAGAAUGUGAUGUUUUCAGACAGAGUCUGUCACCAGGCUGGAGUGCAGUGGUGUGAUCUCGGUUCACUGUAACCUCUGCCUCCCAGGUUUCAAGCAAUUCUCCUGCCUCAGCCUCCCAAGUAGCUAGGACUACAGGCAUGCACCACCAUGCCCAGCUAAUUUUUGUAUUUUUAAUAGAAACAAGGUUUCACCAUGUUGGCCAGGGUGGUCUCAAUCUCCUGACUUCGUGAUCCACCCACCUUGGCCUCCCAAAGUGCUGAGAUUAUAGGCGUGAGCCACUGUACUCAGCCAUAUCUUUUUAAUUCGCGUAUUAAAUUCCAUUUGGAAUUCAUAUUCAUGUUUGAAAUUAGGAAGAGGUUUAACUAUAUACACACACAAAACACACAUUGACAUAUAUUUACAAAUAAACAAUUGUAUAAAUUCCUUUAUUGAAAAACUCGUAUUUUCCAAGUUGGUUGAGUCACCAUUAUCAUAUAUUAAAUGAUCAUACAUGUAUGGUUCUGCUUAUAUUUAUUUCUCUACACUAGGUAGAAUAUUUAAUAAUGUUGGAACAGAUACCACUGUCUUGUUCUGGCCUUAUUAAAAAUGUCUUUAUACUCGAGAAGCAAUAUGAUGUUUGAUAUUGAUCUUAGAUAAUUAUGUUUCAUAAUAUUCAGAAAUUCAUUUAGUCCAAUUGUAUCUUGGUAAUUUUAUAAAAAAUGUGUGCUGUAUAUUAUCAAUAUUUUUGUGUCUACUAUAUAUUCAUAAUUUCUCCCCAUUAUUUGCUAACUUGAUGAUAAAUGUUUGUUUUCUCAUACUUAUCCAUCCUUGAAUUGCUAAAAUUGAAUAUGUUUGGUCACAUUUUUGCAUUUCUAAUGGGGCAUGGAUACAUCUGUUACAAAUUUAGAUGCUAUAUUUAACUAUGAAAAAAUGUUUUUUAAUAAAGGACCCA
RNAcentral lists this long non-coding RNA (2006 nucleotides) under Homo sapiens (human). RNAcentral's name for it is "HSALNT0040538". The record is from RNAcentral. Lineage: Eukaryota; Metazoa; Chordata; Mammalia; Primates; Hominidae.